This 72-nucleotide transfer RNA is filed under the name Plasmopara viticola. Its description in RNAcentral is "tRNA-Asn". It matches the Rfam family "tRNA". Rfam says of the family: Transfer RNA (tRNA) molecules are approximately 80 nucleotides in length. The record is from RNAcentral. Lineage: Eukaryota; Oomycota; Peronosporomycetes; Peronosporales; Peronosporaceae.
UUCUUUGUAGCUCAAUGGUAGAGCAAAUGGCUGUUAACCAUUAGGUUGUAGGUUCGAGUCCUGUCAAAGAAG